RNAcentral lists this unclassified non-coding RNA (290 nucleotides) under Hevea brasiliensis (rubber tree). The record is from RNAcentral. Lineage: Eukaryota; Viridiplantae; Streptophyta; Magnoliopsida; Malpighiales; Euphorbiaceae.
GAUGGCGUUUAAAUUUGUGGGAUUUGAGUAGUAUAUCUUCCAUAAUGUUGAGAGGAUUCCACCUUUAGCCUUGAAAUUGGAGUUUCUGAAUGCAUAUUCCAUAUGAUCAUUUUAGAAUGGUGUUGUUGCUUGCGUUUAGAUUUUGGAGAAAUUUCAUUACUGGGGUUGCAUGGAAUAUUGGAAUUGUUAAAUUUUGGUUGCUAUAAGAAGAAGAAAAAGAAGCAGCAAAACUCAUAGAAAUUCAUGUUGGUGCCUUUUUUUUGCAGCCCUUAGGAGGUAUGAAGCAGCUG